GGCCUGAUAGUUCAGUGGUAGAAUUCUUGCUUUGGGUGUAAGAGGGUGAGUUUAAUGAGUUCCGAAUGUAUCUUCAGCUUUCUAACAGCCUGUAAAGUCUCCGGUUCGAUCCCGGAUUAGGCCC
Bisporella sp. PMI_857 is the source of this 124-nucleotide non-coding RNA. The record is from the annotation of a GenBank genome assembly. NCBI's taxonomy places the organism in Eukaryota, Fungi, Ascomycota, Leotiomycetes, Helotiales, Helotiaceae.